AUUGCCCCAGUAACGGCGAGUGAAGCGGCAACAGCUCAAAUUUGAAAUCUGGCCCCAGGCCCGAGUUGUAAUUUGCAGAGGAUGCUUUUGGCGCGGUGCCUUCCGAGUUCCCUGGAACGGGACGCCAUAGAGGGUGAGAGCCCCGUACGGUUGGACACCAAGCCUUUGUAAAGCUCCUUCGACGAGUCGAGUAGUUUGGGAAUGCUGCUCUAAAUGGGAGGUACAUUUCUUCUAAAGCUAAAUAUUGGCCAGAGACCGAUAGCGCACAAGUAGAGUGAUCGAAAGAUGAAAAGCACUUUGAAAAGAGGGUUAAACAGCACGUGAAAUUGUUAAAAGGGAAGCGCUUGUGACCAGACUUGCGUCCGGUGAAUCACCCAGCUCUCGCGGCUGGGGCACUUCGCCGGCACAGGCCAGCAUCAGCUUGCCGUCGGGGACAAAAGCUUCAGGAACGUAGCUCCUCUCGGGGAGUGUUAUAGCCUGUUGUAUAAUACCCUUCGGCGGGCUGAGGUACGCGCUCCGCAAGGAUGCUGGCGUAAUGGUCAUCAGCGACCCGUCUUGAAACACGGACCAAGGAGUCAACCUUAUGUGCGAGUGUUUGGGUGUUAAACCCCUACGCGUAAUGAAAGUGAACGCAGGUGAGAGCUUCGGCGCAUCAUCGACCGAUCCUGAUGUUCUCGGAUGGAUUUGAGUAAGAGCAUAUAGGGUUGGACCCGAAAGAAGGUGAACUAUGCGUGUGUAGGGUGAAGCCAGAGGAAACUCUGGUGGAGGCUCGCAGCGGUUCUGACGUGCAAAUCGAUCGUCAAACAUGCGCAUGGGGGCGAAAGACUAAUCGAACCUUCUAGUAGCUGGUUUCCGCCGAAGUUUCCCUCAGGAUAGCAGUGUUGAGCUCAGUUUUAUGAGGUAAAGCGAAUGAUUAGGGACUCGGGGGCUAUUUUUUGCCUUCAUCCAUUCUCAACUUUAAAUAUGUAAGAAGCCC
This 976-nucleotide ribosomal RNA is filed under the name Colletotrichum sp. DB5750. RNAcentral's name for it is "LSU rRNA". It matches the Rfam family "Eukaryotic large subunit ribosomal RNA", at positions 74 to 1083 of the family's 3401-position model. The record is from RNAcentral. Lineage: Eukaryota; Fungi; Ascomycota; Sordariomycetes; Glomerellales; Glomerellaceae.